RNAcentral lists this long non-coding RNA (278 nucleotides) under Phoenix dactylifera (date palm). Its description in RNAcentral is "long non-coding RNA (PDAC_LNC017442)". Lineage: Eukaryota; Viridiplantae; Streptophyta; Magnoliopsida; Arecales; Arecaceae. The record is from RNAcentral.
ACUUAAUACUUCAAGUGUAAUUUUCAGAUAAAUAGAUUAAAUUCUGAAAUAUGUUUUGUAUUUAGUAAAAUGGGUCUGGCAUGUUAAAUUUUAUUUGAAAAUUAUGCUCUGAAAUCCGUAAACUAUGACUGAAAAAUUUAUGAAAUCUGUUUAUAUAUAUAUAUAUUCUCAGCAUGGCUAUGAUCUGUUCUGUUCUGUUCUGGCCCCGCCAAUGGGGAUUAUACGUUGGACCUGUCGACUUGUAUUCUGUGAGGAACCGGUUCGACACCGCGCCACCG